GCGGUUGCCGGCCACUAGCAGCUUGCGCACGUCCAGCGGGAAGGGAUCGGGCACGCUAGGAAGCCCGCGAUCGCGACAGUCCACCGUGUGGGGGUGGAGACCGCGGAGGGAGCCCAGCGCGACCCUACUCGGGCGGGGAAUUGGGACCUGUCGCACAGACCUGGCCAGCGGUGCUCAAGACUAAGUUCAGUGACGGAUCCCUGGAGCGAUUUCCAUGGGGCGUGUCUGGGGCAUGCGCCCGGAGCGCCACCCUCGCCUUUGCCAAAGGGGCCCAGGUCACUCUAGCUCCAAGUCUGGGACAAAGCCCGAAGGCUGUCAAGUCCUCGCCUGGGGCUGCGAAGCUGAGAAUUGGCUAGACUCCAGGAUAGCUGGGCUUCCCUCCGACCCCCUCCUUCCUCCCACCUGCUUUUGUCCCACCUCCUGCAGGAGGAGAGUGUGAGCCUGGCGGGUGGCUGCCAAGGUCCGGCUGUGACUGAAAGGAUAGCCAGGGCCAGGACCAGUCAGCGUUUUCCACGCUGGUCCUGAGCUUGGAGAUAGAACUGAUUAUCCUCCCAGCACGGAUCUUCUGUGGCUCUGAGCAAAGCCAAAGCAAGAGGCACUGGGGCAGUUUGGAGGAGAGUGACCUGGAACCGGGGUCCCUAGUGGCCCCUGACCUCCUGUCGAAUCAUCUGUGAAAAGGCAUGGGUAGAGACGUCUCUCCACUCCCUUCGAGGACUGAGGAAGGCCAGAAACAGUGUUUGGGAGUUACCAAGUCUUCUUUCCCCAUCAACCCUUCAUUUUGAUGGCCCAGGAAAGUAAUCUGGUCAGAGAGAGAUGCCAACGCUUAGAGCCCAGCUCCACAGAGGUGAGGUUGGUCUUAGAGGGUGAUAGAAUUCCUUCCUUGCUGUUCCUCAAGUCAACGCCCUGUUCUACUCCCAACCCCUGAAUGUUUUUCUUUUGGAAAAGCCCCUAUGGUGCUACAGGGAAAUUGCCCUGCAGGUGGCUAUUUUAAUCCCAACACCCUGGAACGGAAAAGCUCAGCCCCUGGCCCAAAAUAACCCACAGAACAGCUGUCGGUUACUGGCCCCCACUGACCCUGCCCCAGCCCCUGGCACUGCUGGGGAUUGGUGGAGCCAGCUAUUCCGAAGUCUCAGAGCUAAGUCUGGGUAUUUUUCCCAGUUUGGAAGGGAGUUGGCUGACCUCUUUUUCCAGUUUGAAAGCCAGUUGGUGCCUCUGAGCCAGGGAUCGGGCAGUUGAGCCUUUGGGGCAGAGCCAAAGGCCCCAGAACUUUCAUGAGUUCCAGGAGGGGCUGGGUGUCAGGCCCCCUCAAUCACUCCUCCCUUGCACACACCCUGGCUACCAAGCUAGACCUGCAGCCCCUGUCUUGCACCCACCCCUCUCCAUAAUGUCUUGCAGUUCCCGGUUUCAGGGGCUCUGCCUUCUGAAGAGGGUGGAAUGGAUCGGGGUGGGUGAAGGUAUCUUAGCCACAUUGAUGCUGUUAAUGGUGCAAGAAGAGCAUGUGCCACCACCCUAAACUCUGCAAAAGCACCCUGAAAAGAGAUCUCUUGCUCUCUUUCAGCCUCGGGUUCUGUUCUGGGCUGAGCAAUACCAUCGCUCCUGACGGAGCUGUAGGUCUAAGUGUACACAGGCGUCUUCCUGUCAAGGGGUCUGGCUAACUGCGGCUCUGCACUGUGAGUCAGAUCCCAGUCCUUCCCCUGGUGUCUGGACCUGAUCCUGCCGCUGCCUACAGAGCCAUAGGGGGGUUGCCUCCAUCUUUUUGGAGAUAGCCCAGACCUUGUCUGUUAAAAUUCAGCCUUGUGAGAGGUGGGCUUUCACCUCAGAAGAGGAUACCCAGAGUAAACAUGGCACUCACUCACGGGUGGCUUUAUUCAGCAGCAACAGUCCCCUUUUAUCUAGAAUGUGCACAGUGUUUAGCCAAUGAUAACUCACAAAACAGGGCCAUGCUCGAUGGCAAAAUAAUGCAAGGGGACUCCGGGGACAAAACAGCUGAGAGAUGCCUCUCCUUGGCUGUAACUCUCUUGUCCUGAAAUUAAGAGGAAAUGUUUCCUCUGCCCUUGCACAGACAGUGUGAGGGCAUGAGGGAAAUUAUUUGUGUGGAAACGUGACUUGGAAAAUGUUGUAGAAACCACGCGUGGCUUCUAUGGAGUGGCCACAAAUCUCCCUGUCGGGAACUCCUUGCUUUUUGCUUUGAGUGUCUCCCAAAGUCCCCUGGAUCCUAAUCUGACUUGUUUUCUUUAUUAAUUAACAUCAGCAGGACAUGAGCAGGUUGAGGCUCAGGAGAAUCAGGAGGCACCCCCAUGCCAUAGGACUCUCAUUCCUUGGGAAAAUAAAAGCUUUGCCAUCUCUGAUAUUUCUUCCUCUUGCAAGAAACACAAAACCAUGACCUGAGCAAGGUCAUCCGUGAGUCAGGGAUAAGAGCUGGGAAUAGAAUGUGGGCAUUGUGGGUCCCCACUUGGCCACUCACCCACUCUUCCCGGACCCACGUGGGACAAACCUCUUAGGGAGAGGACAAAAUGCAAAUAAAGAGGCCUGAAGAAGCUU
This 2541-nucleotide small RNA is filed under the name Rattus norvegicus (Norway rat). RNAcentral's name for it is "uncharacterized LOC108351056". Lineage: Eukaryota; Metazoa; Chordata; Mammalia; Rodentia; Muridae. The record is from RNAcentral.